GUUCGGUUCGGUGUGAUGGUGUUUUCGCUAUUAAUCUCUUAAGUUGAGAUGAGAAUCUGCCGCCUAAUGAAUCGCUUGUGGUUGGAAUCGUUGCCUAUUUCGGGCUGCACAAAAAAGUAACGGCUACUUGGGU
Molecule: non-coding RNA, 133 nt
Organism: Helicobacter sp. MIT 11-5569
Lineage: Bacteria; Pseudomonadati; Campylobacterota; Epsilonproteobacteria; Campylobacterales; Helicobacteraceae
Source: Rfam